AAACAAUUCACUAUUAGGUAUGUUCACUGAUUUUAAAUUCGAGUUAGUUUGAUGAUUUCAUAUGAAGUUCAUUAAGCCACAAAGUCAGCUGUCAUGUUCAUGUAGGUGUUGAGUAGGUUUAUGUCAGGUGAGAGGAUGUUCGUGUAGGUGUUGAGUAGGUUUAUGUCAGGUGAGAGGAUGGGUUCGUGUAGGUGUUGAGUAGGUUUGUGUCAGGUGAGAGGAUGUUCGUGUAGGUGUUGAGUAGGUUUGUGUCAGGUGAGAGGAUGUUCGUGUAGGUGUUGAGUAGGUUUAUGUCAGGUGAGAGGAUGUUCGUGUAGGUGUUGAGUAGGUUUAUGUCAG
Molecule: long non-coding RNA, 339 nt
Organism: Ictalurus punctatus (channel catfish)
Lineage: Eukaryota; Metazoa; Chordata; Actinopteri; Siluriformes; Ictaluridae
Source: Ensembl